This 430-nucleotide unclassified non-coding RNA is filed under the name Lactobacillus sp. LS7. RNAcentral's name for it is "16S-23S ribosomal RNA intergenic spacer". The stretch from base 1 to 269 matches the Rfam family "Bacterial small subunit ribosomal RNA", at positions 1266 to 1533 of the family's 1533-position model. Lineage: Bacteria; Bacillati; Bacillota; Bacilli; Lactobacillales; Lactobacillaceae. The record is from RNAcentral.
AGCUAAUCUCUUAAAGCCGUUCUCAGUUCGGAUUGUAGGCUGCAACUCGCCUACAUGAAGUUGGAAUCGCUAGUAAUCGCGGAUCAGCAUGCCGCGGUGAAUACGUUCCCGGGCCUUGUACACACCGCCCGUCACACCAUGAGAGUUUGUAACACCCAAAGUCGGUGGGGUAACCUUUUAGGAACCAGCCGCCUAAGGUGGGACAGAUGAUUAGGGUGAAGUCGUAACAAGGUAGCCGUAGGAGAACCUGCGGCUGGAUCACCUCCUUUCUAAGGAAUAUUACGGAAACCUGCACAUACGUCGAAACUUUGUUUAGUUUUGAGAGGUCUAACUCUCAAACUUGUUCUUUGAAAACUAGAUAAUAUCAAAUAUAUUUUUUCAUAAUGAAACCGAGAACACCGCGUUUUUUGAGUUUUUUAUUGAAGUUUAA